Non-coding RNA from Phasianus colchicus (ring-necked pheasant), 241 nucleotides. NCBI's taxonomy places the organism in Eukaryota, Metazoa, Chordata, Aves, Galliformes, Phasianidae. The record is from RefSeq and is a predicted model, not a curated record.
UGGUGAAAUGUCCCAGCUUCUAGAAGGUCAUCAGGACAAAGCAUACAGAUUUUUCCCACACUGCUGUUUCUGUUCAGCAAUGUUCAUAUGUGCAAUGGUACAGAGCUCAGCAGGUAUACUGCUAAUUAUUGAACGUCUGACAGCUGCUUAUCAACACUUGGCCACUAUUUCUGGACACCUGCUCAUCCCUGAAGAGAGAGAAGUUUGGAAGGAGGACAGAGGGGACUCUCUUGAUGCCUGC